Molecule: ribosomal RNA, 253 nt
Filed under: uncultured bacterium
Lineage: Bacteria
Description: partial 16S ribosomal RNA
Rfam family: Bacterial small subunit ribosomal RNA
Source: RNAcentral
UACGUAGGUGGCGAGCGUUGUCCGGAUUUAUUGGGUUUAAAGGGUGCGUAGGCGGCCCUGUAAGUCAGUGGUGAAAUACUCCAGCUUAACUGGAGGGGUGCCAUUGAUACUGCAGGGCUUGAGUGGAGUCGAAGUAGGCGGAAUUGACGGUGUAGCGGUGAAAUGCUUAGAUAUCGUCAAGAACACCGAUAGUGAAGACAGCUUACUAGGCUUCUACUGACGCUGAGGCACGAAAGUGUGGGGAUCAAACAGG